Non-coding RNA from Mus caroli (Ryukyu mouse), 290 nucleotides. NCBI's taxonomy places the organism in Eukaryota, Metazoa, Chordata, Mammalia, Rodentia, Muridae. The record is from RefSeq and is a predicted model, not a curated record.
CAGAUGUGCUGGGAGCCACUGCGGUACUCGUGCUCAAAGGCAGGCAAGACCAGCUGGUGGCGUUUGAAGCGGCUCUGCUCCAUCCUGUUGGCAGCACACCCACCUCGAAGUGAGAGACCAUAGCAUCCAUGAGCUCCUCGCAGAACGGAGGGUUGGCCUCAAAGGAACCACUCAGCGGGGUGAAGUCCAGGCAGGGCCUAAAGAAAGGGCCCAGGACACAGCAGGCGACACCGUUUGCUCUCCAUCGCCCCUACCUGGGAUGUUGUUUUCCUUGAGGACGGCAAGGUGCU